GAUGAACGCUAGCUACAGGCUUAACACAUGCAAGUCGAGGGGUAACGAGAGGGAAGCUUGCUUUCCUUGUCGACGACCGGCGCACGGGUGAGUAACGCGUAUCCAACCUGCCCCCAACUAGGGAAUAACCUUGCGAAAGUAAGACUAAUACCCUAUAAUUUCCUCAGAUGUCAUCUGACGAGGAAUAAAGAUUUAUCGGUUGUGGAUGGGGAUGCGUCUGAUUAGCUUGUUGGCGGGGUAACGGCCCACCAAGGCAACGAUCAGUAGGGGUUCUGAGAGGAAGGUCCCCCACAUUGGAACUGAGACACGGUCCAAGCUCCUACGGGAGGCAGCAGUGAGGAAUAUUGGCCAAUGGGCGGAAGCCUGAACCAGCCAAGUAGCGUGCAGGAUGACGGCCCUAUGGGUUGUAAACUGCUUUUAUACAGGAAUAAAGUUAGCCACGUGUGGUUAUUUGUAGGUACUGUAUGAAUAAGGACCGGCUAAUUCCGUGCCAGCCGCCGCCGUAA
Molecule: ribosomal RNA, 506 nt
Filed under: uncultured bacterium
Lineage: Bacteria
Description: partial 16S ribosomal RNA
Rfam family: Bacterial small subunit ribosomal RNA
Source: RNAcentral